Molecule: ribosomal RNA, 244 nt
Filed under: uncultured bacterium
Lineage: Bacteria
Description: partial small subunit ribosomal RNA
Rfam family: Bacterial small subunit ribosomal RNA
Source: RNAcentral
AGAAUCAACGCUGGCGGCGUGCCUAACACAUGCAAGUCGCACGAGAAAGGGUAGCAAUCCAUGAGUACAGUGGCGACCGGGUGAGUAACACGUGACUACCUACCCUUGAGUGGGGGAUAACCUCGGGAAACCGAGGCUAAUACCGCAUAAUAUCGAGAGAUCAAAGGAGCAAUUCGCUUUUGGAGGGGGUCGCGGCUGAUUAGCUAGUUGGCGGGGUAAUGGCCCACCAAGGCGAAGAUCGGUA